Molecule: ribosomal RNA, 253 nt
Filed under: uncultured bacterium
Lineage: Bacteria
Description: partial 16S ribosomal RNA
Rfam family: Bacterial small subunit ribosomal RNA
Source: RNAcentral
UACGAAGGGGGCUAGCGUUGUUCGUAAUUACUGGGCGUAAAGCGCACGUAGGCGGACUACUAAGUCAGGGGUGAAAUCCCGGGGCUCAACCCCGGAACUGCCUUUGAUACUGAUAGUCUCGAGUCCGGAAGAGGUGAGUGGAAUUCCGAGUGUAGAGGUGAAAUUCGUAGAUAUUCGGAGGAACACCAGUGGCGAAGGCGGCUCACUGGUCCGGUACUGACGCUGAGGUGCGAAAGCGUGGGGAGCAAACAGG